RNAcentral lists this ribosomal RNA (432 nucleotides) under uncultured bacterium. RNAcentral describes it as "partial 16S ribosomal RNA". It matches the Rfam family "Bacterial small subunit ribosomal RNA", at positions 29 to 506 of the family's 1533-position model. The record is from RNAcentral.
AACGAACGCUGGCGGCAUGCCUAACACAUGCAAGUCGAACGAGACCUUCGGGUCUAGUGGCGCACGGGUGCGUAACGCGUGGGAACCUGCCCUUAGGUUCGGAAUAACUCCCCGAAAGGGGUGCUAAUACCGGAUAAUGUCUUCGGACCAAAGAUUUAUCGCCUUUGGAUGAGCCCGCGUUGGAUUAGCUAGUUGGUAGGGUAAAAGCCUACCAAGGCGACGAUCCAUAGCUGGUCUGAGAGGAUGAUCAGCCACACUGGGACUGAGACACGGCCCAGACUCCUACGGGAGGCAGCAGUGGGGAAUAUUGGACAAUGGGCGAAAGCCUGAUCCAGCAAUGCCGCGUGAGUGAUGAAGGCCUUAGGGUUGUAAAGCUCUUUUACCCGGGAUGAUAAUGACAGUACCGGGAGAAUAAGCUCCGGCGAACUCCGU